CAUGACAUGGGUAUGGAUACAUGAUUUCAUACAUAAGAUUGGUGAAACUAUGGAGGAAAUAAGCAAUGUUUUAUUACCUUGACUAAACUAGGUCUACAGGAUAUAGAUUGACAAUUGACAGAAUAUUAAAAAUGAGGAAGGUGAUUACUAUAAUGACAUGUUUGGCACGAAAGAUUGGAUAGCAAGUAAAAAUAAGUUAAAAUCACGUUUGCAGUCCUGCGAGCACUAAAUGUAUAGGAAAUGUCGAGGUAUUGCAAUUUCUGUUCACUUAUCACUAGAUCACGAUAUUCAACUAUACAUUUAUAUCAUUCCCUUUUUCGUCUAAAUAUUUAAAAACUCAGCAAAUAAACAUACGUUGUUUAAUCUAUACAAUAUCUUCGACAUUUAUACAAGAUAAUUUCAUGGGGUUGGUAUGGAAAAUAAGUUAUAUGUACUCUCAACUCUAUAAACAUGGAGCAUAACUACCAUUUCUAGGUAAGGAAUUUUUUUCAAAAUGCCUUCUUACUAUGAGAAUUUAUUGGUCAUUUUUCCCAAAAAUAUGACAAAUUAUGACUGUAUGCACCAUUUCGUCAAUUGACAAAUUAUAGUUGUCACUUUUGGCAAAUAAAUUUAAGACCUGGUAUUCAGUUAAAAUUAUCCACUCGCAAUCCCAGAUAUACAUGUACUCCUAAAAAAAGAUCACAUACUAAAAGUUUAUGUUCUAAAUAUAAUUUUAUUAUUAUUAUUAUUUUUUUAUUUUUUU
RNAcentral lists this long non-coding RNA (742 nucleotides) under Olea europaea subsp. europaea. The record is from RNAcentral. Lineage: Eukaryota; Viridiplantae; Streptophyta; Magnoliopsida; Lamiales; Oleaceae.